RNAcentral lists this ribosomal RNA (154 nucleotides) under Fulvifomes fastuosus. RNAcentral describes it as "5.8S ribosomal RNA". It matches the Rfam family "5.8S ribosomal RNA". Rfam says of the family: 5.8S ribosomal RNA (5.8S rRNA) is a component of the large subunit of the eukaryotic ribosome. Lineage: Eukaryota; Fungi; Basidiomycota; Agaricomycetes; Hymenochaetales; Hymenochaetaceae. RNAcentral also lists the same sequence under 14 other names. The record is from RNAcentral.
AACUUUCAACAACGGAUCUCUUGGCUCUCGCAUCGAUGAAGAACGCAGCGAAAUGCGAUAAGUAAUGUGAAUUGCAGAAUUCAGUGAAUCAUCGAAUCUUUGAACGCACCUUGCGCCCUUUGGUAUUCCGAAGGGCAUGCCUGUUUGAGUGUCA